Molecule: long non-coding RNA, 913 nt
Organism: Solenopsis invicta (red fire ant)
Lineage: Eukaryota; Metazoa; Arthropoda; Insecta; Hymenoptera; Formicidae
Exons: 3
Source: RefSeq, a predicted model, not a curated record
GUCGAAGCUCGAGGCCAUCGCAGGCCAUCGCCAUGUUGCUUUGUCCUCUACCAGCCUGUACCCGUGACCGGCGAACGCUCCAUGCUUCCUGGUGUUUCUUUUAUGUUCCUCACGUUGAAUUUCUGUUCGGAUACAACAACGUCGAAUGUGUCGAGUAGUAGUAGCGUGAGCGCCAGGAUCGUAUACAGAUCGUAUCUCAUUCGUGAAGUGUUACGACGAGCUUGUCACUCGCGUCUUGUUGUCUCGUGCUCGUGUAACGUUACUCGAUUUUCCGCUUGCCUCGCGAUUUUCGUUGUUUCCGAUCGGCCGCGAUUAUAUCACAUUUCAUUAGAACUCGUGUGUGAUAUGUUACCCGCACAUCAUUAAUGCCGAAUAAAAUAUCAGGCCGCUUGACCAAGCUCGUUGCGUUAGCCAUGGCGUCAACCCGUCGAACGAUCGCAUUUUUCAACCCGCGUCUGUUUAUUUUCCGUCUCAAUUCGUACGUUUAUCAGUGUAUGAAAACGCGAACAUAAUAAUCGUACGGUGACGCGCGUGUUGCGUGUUGUGUGUCAGCAACGGUGGCGACCAACCGGUCGAGAAAUUUAUGUUACGCCGCGCGCGAUUGCCUGCUCAAGAUUCGUCAUUUGCCGGGACGGUAACUUCCCCGAUGGCGUCGCACUCGCGGGUGUGGUAUCGUAAGUGUUGAACAAUAUAUCGUGCGGUCGACGUUAAUGUGCAAUUCGAGAGCGAUAAAAAGAGAUAUCGUCAGCGAAGGACGGUCUCCAAGAAGCAAUUCGGUCGACACUGAAAACUCUGCUGCUGCGCAUCGUGAGUCAACGCAGCUUCCAACACCUAAACAUGUGUAAGGUGCUUGUUCGAGUUUCGAGCUUGUCGCGCCAUCCAAUAUCGAAGAUUGCGGCACGGCUGGAGCCGA